ACUCCUGCGGGAGGCAGCAGUGGGGAAUUUUGGACAAUGGGCGAAAGCCUGAUCCAGCAAUGCCGCGUGAGUGAAGAAGGCCUUCGGGUUGUAAAGCUCUUUUGUCAGGGAAGAAACGGUGAGAGCUAAUAUCUUUUGCUAAUGACGGUACCUGAAGAAUAAGCACCGGCUAACUACGUGCCAGCAGCCGCGGUAAUACGUAGGGUGCAAGCGUUAAUCGGAAUUACUGGGCGUAAAGCGUGCGCAGGCGGUUUUGUAAGUCUGAUGUGAAAUCCCCGGGCUCAACCUGGGAAUUGCAUUGGAGACUGCAAGGCUAGAAUCUGGCAGAGGGGGGUAGAAUUCCACGUGUAGCAGUGAAAUGCGUAGAUAUGUGGAGGAACACCGAUGGCGAAGGCAGCCCCCUGGGUCAAGAUUGACGCUCAUGCACGAAAGCGUGGGGAGCAAACAGGAUUAGAUACCCUGGUAGUCCCAUG
Molecule: ribosomal RNA, 473 nt
Filed under: uncultured organism
Description: partial 16S ribosomal RNA
Rfam family: Bacterial small subunit ribosomal RNA
Source: RNAcentral